UUCCAGUCUCCCCUACCGCACUCAAGCCCGCCCGUACCCGGCGCGGAUCCACCGUUAAGCGAUGGACUUUCACACCGGACGCGACGAACCGCCUACGAGCCCUUUACGCCCAAUAAUUCCGGAUAACGCUUGCACCCUACGUAUUACCGCGGCUGCUGGCACGUAGUUAGCCGGUGCUUAUUCAACGGGUAAACUCACUCUCGCUUGCUCCCCGAUAAAAGAGGUUUACAACCCGAAGGCCUCCAUCCCUCACGCGGCGUCGCUGCAUCAGGCUUGCGCCCAUUGUGCAAUAUUCCCCACUGCUGCCUCCCGUAGGAGUCUGGGCCGUAUCUCAGUCCCAAUGUGGCCGGUCGCCCUCUCAGGCCGGCUACCCGUCGAAGCCACGGUGGGCCGUUACCCCGCCGUCAAGCUGAUAGGACGCGACCCCAUCCCAUACCGCGAAAGCUUUCCCAGAAGACCAUGCGAUCAACUGGAG
This 475-nucleotide ribosomal RNA is filed under the name uncultured Bifidobacterium sp. RNAcentral describes it as "partial 16S ribosomal RNA". The record is from RNAcentral. Lineage: Bacteria; Bacillati; Actinomycetota; Actinomycetes; Bifidobacteriales; Bifidobacteriaceae.